UACAUGGGACAGUUUUAUAUAACAACAUAACGGUGCUCCACAUCAGGUCUGGAGAAGUAGUUACAUGGGACAGUUUUAUAUAACAACAUACAGGUGCUCCACAUCAGGUCUGGAGAAGUAGUUACAUGGGACAGUUUUAUAUAACAACAUACAGGUGCUCCACAUCAGGUCUGGAGAAGUAGUUACAUGGGACAGUUUUAUAUAACAACAUAACGGUGCUCCACAUCAGGUCUGGAGAAGUAGUUACAUGGGACAGUUUUAUAUAACAACAUAACGGUGCUCCACAUCAGGUCUGGAGAAGUAGUUACAUGGGACAGUUUUAUAUAACAACAUACAGGUGCUCCACAUCAGGUCUGGAGAAGUAGUUACAUGGGACAGUUUUAUAUAACAACAUAACGGUGCUCCACAUCAGGUCUGGAGAAGUAGUUACAUGGGACAGUUUUAUAUAACAACAUAACGGUGCUCCACAUCAGGUCUGGAGAAGUAGUUACAAGGGACAGUUUUAUAUAACAACAUAACGGUGCUCCACAUCAGGUCUGGAGAAGU
Molecule: long non-coding RNA, 546 nt
Organism: Eriocheir sinensis (Chinese mitten crab)
Lineage: Eukaryota; Metazoa; Arthropoda; Malacostraca; Decapoda; Varunidae
Exons: 4
Source: RefSeq, a predicted model, not a curated record